This 263-nucleotide ribosomal RNA is filed under the name uncultured Staphylococcus sp. RNAcentral's name for it is "partial 16S ribosomal RNA". It matches the Rfam family "Bacterial small subunit ribosomal RNA", at positions 99 to 354 of the family's 1533-position model. Lineage: Bacteria; Bacillati; Bacillota; Bacilli; Caryophanales; Staphylococcaceae. The record is from RNAcentral.
CGGACGGGUGAGUAACACGUGGAUAACCUACCUAUAAGACUGGGAUAACUUCGGGAAACCGGAGCUAAUACCGGAUAAUAUAUUGAACCGCAUGGUUCAAUAGUGAAAGACGGUUUUGCUGUCACUUAUAGAUGGAUCCGCGCCGCAUUAGCUAGUUGGUAAGGUAACGGCUUACCAAGGCAGCGAUGCGUAGCCGACCUGAGAGGGUGAUCGGCCACACUGGAACUGAGACACGGUCCAGACUCCUACGGGAGGCAGCAGAA